UUUUUUUCUGGCUGCCUUUGUCCACACCUAAAUACCCAACUCCAUUUCUGCUUUUCUAUAGCGACAGAAAAUUAUUUUUCCAUUGAGAAAAGUAAAUAUGACGAGAGAAGAAGAGUAAGGAGACAUCCAAGCUUACAAGUCUUUAUCAAAUCAUGAAGCCAAAUGUAAAAACUAUACGUUCGUUUUAUAUUUUUCUAAAAGCUACAAACCAUUUCUCUCUUUUUAUAAUUUUACCAAG
Molecule: long non-coding RNA, 238 nt
Filed under: Capsella rubella
Lineage: Eukaryota; Viridiplantae; Streptophyta; Magnoliopsida; Brassicales; Brassicaceae
Description: long non-coding RNA (CRUB_LNC003271)
Source: RNAcentral